UACGAAGGAUCCAAGCGUUAUCCGGAUUUAUUGGGUUUAAAGGGUGCGUAGGCGGGCUAUUAAGUCAGUGGUGAAAGCCCCAAGCUUAACUUGGGAAUUGCCAUUGAUACUGAUGGUCUUGAGUACACUUGAAGUGGGCGGAAUGUGUCAUGUAGCGGUGAAAUGCUUAGAUAUGACGCAGAACACCAAUUGCGAAGGCAGCUUGCUACACUGUUAUUGACACUGAGGCACGAAAGCGUGGGGAUCAAACAGG
This 253-nucleotide ribosomal RNA is filed under the name uncultured bacterium. RNAcentral's name for it is "partial 16S ribosomal RNA". It matches the Rfam family "Bacterial small subunit ribosomal RNA", at positions 524 to 776 of the family's 1533-position model. The record is from RNAcentral.